CCUACGGGAGGCAGCAGUGAGGAAUAUUGGUCAAUGGACGAGAGUCUGAACCAGCCAAGUAGCGUGAAGGAUGACUGCCCUAUGGGUUGUAAACUUCUUUUAUAUGGGAAUAAAAUGUUCCACGUGUGGGAUUUUGUAUGUACCAUAUGAAUAAGGAUCGGCUAACUCCGUGCCAGCAGCCGCGGUAAUACGGAGGAUCCGAGCGUUAUCCGGAUUUAUUGGGUUUAAAGGGAGCGUAGGUGGAUUGUUAAGUCAGUUGUGAAAGUUUGCGGCCCAACCGUAAAAUUGCAGUUGAAACUGGCAGUCUUGAGUACAGUAGAGGUGGGCGGAAGUCGUGGUGUAGCGGUGAAAUGCUUAGAUAUCACGAAGAACUCCGAUUGCGAAGGCAGUUCACUGGACUGCAACUGACACUGAGGCUCGAAAGUGUGGGUAUCAAACAGGAUUAGAUACCCCAGUAGUC
This 460-nucleotide ribosomal RNA is filed under the name uncultured bacterium. RNAcentral's name for it is "partial 16S ribosomal RNA". It matches the Rfam family "Bacterial small subunit ribosomal RNA", at positions 338 to 795 of the family's 1533-position model. The record is from RNAcentral.